AUGAACGCUGGCGGCGUGCCUAAUCCCUGCAAGUCGAGCGAACAGACGAGGAGCUUGCUCCUCUGACGUUCGCGGCGGACGGGUGAGUAACACGUGGAUAACCUACCUAUAAGACUGGGAUAACUUCGGGAAACCGGAGCUAAUACCGGAUAAUAUAUUGAACCGCAUGGUUCAAUAGUGAAAGACGGUUUUGCUGUCACUUAUAGAUGGAUCCGCGCCGCAUUAGCUAGUUGGUAAGGUAACGGCUUACCAAGGCAACGAUGCGUAGCCGACCUGAGAGGGUGAUCGGCCACACUGGAACUGAGACACGGUCCAGACUCCUACGGGAGGCAGCAGUAGGGAAUCUUCCGCAAUGGGCGAAAGCCUGACGGAGCAACGCCGCGUGAGUGAUGAAGGUCUUCGGAUGGUAAAACUCUGUUAUUAGGGAAGAACAAAUGUGUAAGUAACUAUGCACGUCUUGACGGUACCUUAUCAGAAAGCCACGGCUAACUACGUG
RNAcentral lists this ribosomal RNA (496 nucleotides) under uncultured bacterium. Its description in RNAcentral is "partial 16S ribosomal RNA". It matches the Rfam family "Bacterial small subunit ribosomal RNA", at positions 29 to 507 of the family's 1533-position model. The record is from RNAcentral.